This 253-nucleotide ribosomal RNA is filed under the name uncultured bacterium. Its description in RNAcentral is "partial 16S ribosomal RNA". It matches the Rfam family "Bacterial small subunit ribosomal RNA", at positions 524 to 776 of the family's 1533-position model. The record is from RNAcentral.
UACGUAGGGGGCAAGCGUUGUCCGGAUUUAUUGGGCGUAAAGAGCGUGUAGGCGGUUUGGUAGGUCCGCUGUGAAAACUCGAGGCUCAACCUCGAGACGCCGGUGGAAACCAUCAGGCUAGAGUUCGGAAGAGGAGAGUGGAAUUCCUGGUGUAGCGGUGAAAUGCGCAGAUAUCAGGAAGAACACCCGUGGCUAAGGCGGCUCUCUAGUACGGUACUGACGCUGAGACGCGAAAGCGUGGGGAGCGAACAGG